Molecule: ribosomal RNA, 538 nt
Filed under: uncultured bacterium
Lineage: Bacteria
Description: bacterial SSU rRNA
Rfam family: Bacterial small subunit ribosomal RNA
Source: RNAcentral
AGUCAAUAGAUACCCGGGUAGUCCAUGCCGUAAACGAUGAUUGCUAGGUGUGGGGGGUCUGACCCUUCCGUGCCGGAGUUAAACACAAAUAAGCAAUCCACCUGGGGAGUACGGCCGCAAGGUUGAAACUCAAAGGAAUUGACGGGGGCCCGCACAAGCAGUGGAGUAUGUGGUUUAAUUCGAAGCAACGCGAAGAACCUUACCAGGUCUUGACAUCCACCGAAUCCUGUAGAGAUACGGGAGUGCCCUUCGGGGAACGGUGAGACAGGUGGUGCAUGGUUGUCGUCAGCUCGUGUCGUGAGAUGUUGGGUUAAGUCCCGCAACGAGCGCAACCCUUGUGAAUAGUUGCUACGAAAGAGCACUCUAUUCAGACCGCCGUUGACAAAACGGAGGAAGGUGGGGAUGACGCCAAAUCAUCAUGCCCCUUAUGACCUGGGCUACACACGUACUACAAUGGCCGUUAACAGAGGGAUGCAAUGCCGCGAGGUGGAGCGAACCCCUAAAAACGGUCUCAGUUCAGAUUGCAGGCUGAAACUCG